UACGGAGGAUGCGAGCGUUAUCCGGAUUUAUUGGGUUUAAAGGGUGCGCAGGCGGCAUGUCAAGUCAGCGGUCAAAAUGCGGCGCUCAACGCCGUACCGCCGUUGAAACUGGCGAGCUGGAGUGCGUGGGAUGGCGGCGGAAUGCGCGGUGUAGCGGUGAAAUGCAUAGAUAUCGCGCAGAACCCCGAUUGCGAAGGCAGCUGCCAACCACGUGACUGACGCUCAUGCACGAAAGCGUGGGUAUC
Molecule: ribosomal RNA, 245 nt
Filed under: uncultured Barnesiella sp.
Lineage: Bacteria; Pseudomonadati; Bacteroidota; Bacteroidia; Bacteroidales; Barnesiellaceae
Description: partial 16S ribosomal RNA
Rfam family: Bacterial small subunit ribosomal RNA
Source: RNAcentral